AUACGGAGGGUGCAAGCGUUAUUCGGAAUCACUGGGCGUAAAGGACGCGUAGGCGGGUUGGCAAGUCAGAUGUAAAAUCCUACAGCUUAACUGUAGAACUGCAUUUGAAACUGCUAACCUAGAGUAUGGGAGGGGGAGAUGGAAUUAGUGGUGUAGGGGUAAAAUCCGUAGAUAUCACUAGGAAUACCGAAAGCGAAGGCGAUCCCCUGGAACAUAACUGACGCUAAGGCGUGAAAGCGUGGGGAGCAAACAGGAUUAGAAACCCUAGUAGUCC
This 274-nucleotide ribosomal RNA is filed under the name uncultured bacterium. RNAcentral's name for it is "partial 16S ribosomal RNA". It matches the Rfam family "Bacterial small subunit ribosomal RNA", at positions 523 to 796 of the family's 1533-position model. The record is from RNAcentral.